GACGGAGGGGGCUAGCGUUGUUCGGAAUGACUGGGCGUAAAGCGCGUGUAGGCGGUCUUUUAAGUUAGGCGUGAAAGCCCAGGGCUUAACCCUGGAACUGCGCUUAAGACUGGAAGACUAGAGUAAUGUAGAGGUGAGUGGAAUUCCUAGUGUAGAGGUGAAAUUCGUAGAUAUUAGGAGGAACACCAGAGGCGAAGGCGGCUCACUGGACAUUUACUGACGCUGAGACGCGAAAGCGUGGGGAGCAAACAGG
RNAcentral lists this ribosomal RNA (253 nucleotides) under uncultured bacterium. RNAcentral describes it as "partial 16S ribosomal RNA". It matches the Rfam family "Bacterial small subunit ribosomal RNA", at positions 524 to 776 of the family's 1533-position model. The record is from RNAcentral.